UUUUGUAUAAUGGGUCAGCGACUUAUAUUCUGUAGCAAGGUUAACCGAAUAGGGGAGCCGAAGGGAAACCGAGUCUUAACUGGGCGUUAAGUUGCAGGGUAUAGACCCGAAACCCGGUGAUCUAGCCAUGGGCAGGUUGAAGGUUGGGUAACACUAACUGGAGGACCGAACCGACUAAUGUUGAAAAAUUAGCGGAUGACUUGUGGCUGGGGGUGAAAGGCCAAUCAAACCGGGAGAUAGCUGGUUCUCCCCGAAAGCUAUUUAGGUAGCGCCUCGUGAAUUCAUCUCCGGGGGUAGAGCACUGUUUCGGCAAGGGGGUCAUCCCGACUUACCAACCCGAUGCAAACUGCGAAUACCGGAGAAUGUUAUCACGGGAGACACACGGCGGGUGCUAACGUCCGUCGUGAAGAGGGAAACAACCCAGACCGCCAGCUAAGGUCCCAAAGUCAUGGUUAAGUGGGAAACGAUGUGGGAAGGCCCAGACAGCCAGGAUGUUGGCUUAGAAGCAGCCAUCAUUUAAAGAAAGCGUAAUAGCUCACUGGUCGAGUCGGCCUGCGCGGAAGAUGUAACGGGGCUAAACCAUGCACCGAAGCUGCGGCAGCGACACUAUGUGUUGUUGGGUAGGGGAGCGUUCUGUAAGCCUGCGAAGGUGUGCUGUGAGGCAUGCUGGAGGUAUCAGAAGUGCGAAUGCUGACAUAAGUAACGAUAAAGCGGGUGAAAAGCCCGCUCGCCGGAAGACCAAGGGUUCCUGUCCAACGUUAAUCGGGGCAGGGUGAGUCGACCCCUAAGGCGAGGCCGAAAGGCGUAGUCGAUGGGAAACAGGUUAAUAUUCCUGUACUUGGUGUUACUGCGAAGGGGGGACGGAGAAGGCUAUGUUGGCCGGGCGACGGUUGUCCCGGUUUAAGCGU
RNAcentral lists this ribosomal RNA (908 nucleotides) under Escherichia coli. RNAcentral's name for it is "partial 23S ribosomal RNA". It matches the Rfam family "Bacterial large subunit ribosomal RNA", at positions 606 to 1519 of the family's 2925-position model. The record is from RNAcentral. Lineage: Bacteria; Pseudomonadati; Pseudomonadota; Gammaproteobacteria; Enterobacterales; Enterobacteriaceae.